CCCUUGGAUGUUCUGGGCCGCACGCGCGCUACACUGACGAAUGCAACGAGCUUAUAACCUUGGCCGAAAGGUCUGGGUAAUCUCCAAAUUUCGUCGUGAUGGGGAUAGAUUAUUGCAAUUAUUAAUCUUCAACGAGGAAUGCCUAGUAAGCGCAAGUCAUCAGCUUGCGUUGAUUACGUCCCUGCCCUUUGUACACACCGCCCGUCGCUCCUACCGAUUGAAUGGUCCGGUGAAGCGUUCGGACCGUGGCCUUUGGACGGUUCGCCGUCUGUUGGCUGCGGGAAGUUCGUUAAACCUUAUCAUUUAGAGGAAGGAGAAGUCGUANCA
This 327-nucleotide ribosomal RNA is filed under the name uncultured eukaryote. RNAcentral describes it as "partial 18S ribosomal RNA". It matches the Rfam family "Eukaryotic small subunit ribosomal RNA", at positions 1470 to 1796 of the family's 1831-position model. The record is from RNAcentral.